RNAcentral lists this ribosomal RNA (490 nucleotides) under uncultured bacterium. RNAcentral's name for it is "partial 16S ribosomal RNA". It matches the Rfam family "Bacterial small subunit ribosomal RNA", at positions 29 to 505 of the family's 1533-position model. The record is from RNAcentral.
AGUGAACGCUGGCGGUAGGCCUAACACAUGCAAGUCGAACGGCAGCACAGUAAGAGCUUGCUCUUACGGGUGGCGAGUGGCGGACGGGUGAGGAAUACAUCGGAAUCUACUUUUUCGUGGGGGAUAACGUAGGGAAACUUACGCUAAUACCGCAUACGACCUACGGGUGAAAGCAGGGGAUCUUCGGACCUUGCGCGAUUGAAUGAGCCGAUGUCGGAUUAGCUAGUUGGCGGGGUAAAGGCCCACCAAGGCGACGAUCCGUAGCUGGUCUGAGAGGAUGAUCCCCCCCCCUGGACCAGACACCCGGUCCACCCCCCUCCGGGGGGCAGCUUUGGGGAAUUUUGGACAAUGGGCGCACCCCUUCUCCCCCCUUCCCGCGUGGGUGAAGAAGCCCUUCGGUUUGUAAAGCCUUUUUUUUGGGAAAGAAAACCCGCAGGUUAAUCCCCCCCUUUUCUGCCGGUCCCCAAAAAAUACCAACCGGCUACCUUCG